RNAcentral lists this ribosomal RNA (742 nucleotides) under Klebsiella pneumoniae. RNAcentral's name for it is "bacterial SSU rRNA". It matches the Rfam family "Bacterial small subunit ribosomal RNA", at positions 56 to 789 of the family's 1533-position model. The record is from RNAcentral. Lineage: Bacteria; Pseudomonadati; Pseudomonadota; Gammaproteobacteria; Enterobacterales; Enterobacteriaceae.
UGCAAGUCGAGCGGUAGCACAGAGAGCUUGCUCUCGGGUGACGAGCGGCGGACGGGUGAGUAAUGUCUGGGAAACUGCCUGAUGGAGGGGGAUAACUACUGGAAACGGUAGCUAAUACCGCAUAACGUCGCAAGACCAAAGUGGGGGACCUUCGGGCCUCAUGCCAUCAGAUGUGCCCAGAUGGGAUUAGCUAGUAGGUGGGGUAACGGCUCACCUAGGCGACGAUCCCUAGCUGGUCUGAGAGGAUGACCAGCCACACUGGAACUGAGACACGGUCCAGACUCCUACGGGAGGCAGCAGUGGGGAAUAUUGCACAAUGGGCGCAAGCCUGAUGCAGCCAUGCCGCGUGUGUGAAGAAGGCCUUCGGGUUGUAAAGCACUUUCAGCGGGGAGGAAGGCGUUAAGGUUAAUAACCUUGUCGAUUGACGUUACCCGCAGAAGAAGCACCGGCUAACUCCGUGCCAGCAGCCGCGGUAAUACGGAGGGUGCAAGCGUUAAUCGGAAUUACUGGGCGUAAAGCGCACGCAGGCGGUCUGUCAAGUCGGAUGUGAAAUCCCCGGGCUCAACCUGGGAACUGCAUUCGAAACUGGCAGGCUAGAGUCUUGUAGAGGGGGGUAGAAUUCCAGGUGUAGCGGUGAAAUGCGUAGAGAUCUGGAGGAAUACCGGUGGCGAAGGCGGCCCCCUCGACAAAGACUGACGCUCAGGUGCGAAAGCGUGGGGAGCAAACAGGAUUAUAUACCCUG